This 836-nucleotide long non-coding RNA is filed under the name Androctonus crassicauda. The record is from RNAcentral. Lineage: Eukaryota; Metazoa; Arthropoda; Arachnida; Scorpiones; Buthidae.
CUUGCUAUUGUAAGGAUGCCACAAUGGGUUAUGCCAGAUGAACCAGUUUUGGAUAUAAUACCAAAAAUUGAAACAUGGCACAUAGAUAAGUGAUAAGGGAUCCAGGAAUGAAUGAUUGACUUGAACAUAAUAUAAGUGAAAGUGAUUUAUUUACAGCAAACUAGUAAUUUACAAUAAUAAAAGAAUCUACAAUCUACAAGAAUAUAAGAGUUUACAUUAAGGAUAUAAGAAUUUGCUUAAGUCUACCUGAAUUAACUUAAACUAAUCCUGUUACAGUGAUUCAAGAAUACAAUAUUUGAGAUUUGAGUGUGUGUUGAGCCUUCCACAUACCUGGGAGUCAUUUGCCAGAGUAGCAUUGAUUAUCUGAUUCUAAUAAAAGGUCAAAAGUCCAUAAAUGUUCAUUCACACAGCACCAUACUUUGUCACUCUCCUCCAUUUAUCGUGUGUCACUGUCGUUGGCUAUCAUCGUCUCUGUGUCUCCAUCGGCCUUGCCGAUGGAGACACGGAGACGAGUCCAUCGGCAAGGCCGAUGGGACGAGUUGUCUCCUGUCGACCGGUACAUUGUUGCUUACAUUAUUGUUCUUUGCACAAGAUAACUUCUUUUGAUUUUCUCUCUGCCUCCUCUCUGUCUGAAUUUCCCUCUGACUGAACUCCCAAAGGAUGGGACUCACCAGUUUAUAUCACUUGGAUGAUGUUUUCUGAUAUUUUGUUAUAUGUUUUUGUUUUCUGAUAUAUGUUUUACUUCCAUUGUAAUAGUUUGAUUCUUACAUUAUUUUUAAUACAACCGAUUCCCAUCACAAUUUAUUUUAUAUUUACUUUAAAUACUGAAGUUGACA